Molecule: long non-coding RNA, 227 nt
Filed under: Fukomys damarensis (Damara mole-rat)
Lineage: Eukaryota; Metazoa; Chordata; Mammalia; Rodentia; Bathyergidae
Description: lncRNA (ENSFDAG00000021641.1)
Source: RNAcentral
AAGAAUUAUGAGCACACUAUGUUGCCACUGGACAUUUCCAUCUUGGAUGCACCUUGAUGCCUCCAGUCACAGCUGAGACCUCAAUGGUCCCAUGAUGCUGUGACACUUAAGGACAAGAUGACAUCAGCUGAAGACAUCCUGGUUGCUUGAGACCUGAGUAGUCAAAGAAAGGUUUCAAGGUUUCGACUGGGGAGGGACAAAUUCCUCAUCAUAUUAAUUUAUCCCAC